UGAGGAUAUAGUUUAAUAUGGGAAAACAGCUAAAUUUAUUAGUAGAAUAUGGUUCGAAACCAUAUAUUCUCAUC
Molecule: transfer RNA, 74 nt
Filed under: Paraclostridium sordellii
Lineage: Bacteria; Bacillati; Bacillota; Clostridia; Peptostreptococcales; Peptostreptococcaceae
Description: Paeniclostridium sordellii tRNA-Lys(ttt)
Rfam family: tRNA
About the family: Transfer RNA (tRNA) molecules are approximately 80 nucleotides in length.
Source: RNAcentral